AUGGAUUGUGAGAUGGUACAGAUACAUUCGGAGCAAUGUAGAGAUAUUCCAGCUGCUCCAGCCAAUGAGCUGGCUUCAAUUGGAGCUCUGCUCAGAUGCAUCUAUACAAAUGCCCGUAGUAUGGGGAACAAACAAGAGGAAUUAGAGAUGUGUGCAUGUCUAUGGGGAUAUGAUAUCAUAGGCAUCACAGAAACAUGGUGGGAUGGCUCCUAUGACUGGAGUGUUGGAAUGGAAGGUUACCGGCUCUUUAGGAAAGACAGGCCUGGCAGAUGGGGAGGGGGAGUUGCUAUUUAUGUUAGGGAUAGGCUGGAGAGUAUGGAACGCUGUCUGGGGACAGGUGAACAGCCAAUAGAGAGUUUGUGGGUCAGGGUUAAAGGGAGAACAGUGAUGGGUGACAUUAUUGUAGGGAUCUGUUACAGACUGCCUGACCAAGAGGACUCGAUGGAUGAAGUGCUCUAUAGACAGAUAGGAAUAGCCUCACGCUCGCGGGCUCUUGUUUUCAUGGGAGACUUCAACCACCCUGAUAUCUGUUGGAGGGAUGGUAUGGCCCGGCACAAGCAAUCCAGGAAGUUCCUCAAUUGUGUAGAAGACAACUUCCUUCUCCAAGUAAUAGAGGAGCCGACAAGGAGAGGUGCCAUGCUUGACCUUGUCCUCACCAACAGGGAAGGGCUGGUUGGAAAUGUGAUGCUCCAGGGCAGCCUUGAUUGCAGCGAUCAUGAGAUGGUCAAAUUAGAGAUCCUCAGGACAGUGAGAAGAGCGUGCAGCAAGCUCACUGCCCUGGACUUCAAGAGAGCACACUUUGGCCUCUUCAGGAACGUGCUUAGUAAGGUUCCAUGGGAUAUAGCCCUAGAGGGCAGGGGGGCCCAAGACUGUUGGUUGAUAUUGAAGGAUCACCUGCUGCAGGCUCAGGAGUGUUGCAUCCCAACUAGAAGGAAGUUCAGCAGGAGGGCCAGGAGACCUCCUUGGAUGGAUAAGGAGCUGUUGAGGAAACUUCAAAGGAAAAAAGAGGCUUAUAAAAGGUGGAAGCAAGGACAGGCUGCUUGGGAAGAACACAGGGAUGUUGUCCAGGAAACUAGGGACCAGGUUAGGAAAGCUAAGGCCCACUUAGAAUUAAACUUGGCUAGGGAUGUUAAGGGUAACAGGAAGGGAUUCUAUAGGUACAUUGCAAAUAAAAGGCAGGCUAGAGACAAUGUGGGCCCUCUCCAGAAGCUACUGGGAGAACUGGCUACCCUGGAUUUGGAGAAGGCUGAGGUUCUUAAUGAGUUCUUUGCCUCAGUCUUCACUGGAAAAUGCUCUGAUCACACCACCCAAGUCUUGGAAGGCAGACACAGGGACAGUGAGAAUGAAGACCCUGGGCCCACUGUAGGAGAGGAUCUGGUUCGAGACCCUCUUAGGAACCUGAAUGUAUACAAGUCCAUGGGACCGGAUGAAAUCCAUCCGCGGGUCCUGAAGGAGCUGGCAAAUGAAGUUGCUAAGCCACUGUCCAUCAUAUUUGAAAAAUCAUGGCAGUCAGGUGAAGUUCCUGAUGACUGGAAAAAGGGAAAUAUAACCCCCAUUUUCAAGAAGGGGAUAAUGGAUGAGCUGGGGAACUACAGACCAGUCAGUCUCACCUCUGUGCCUGGCAAAAUCUUGGAGCGGAUUAUCCUGGAAGGCAUGCUAAGGCACAUGAAAACCAACAAGGUGCUUGGUGACAGCCAGCAUGGCUUCACUAAGGGGAAAUCCUGCCUGACAAAUCUGGUGGCCUUCUAUGAUGGGGCUACGGAACUGAUGGACAGGGGUAGAGCAGUUGAUGUCAUCUACCUGGACUUAUGUAAAGCCUUUGACACUGUCUCACAUGACAUCCUUCUCUCUAAGUUGGAGAGACAUCAAUUUGAUAGGUGGACCACUCGGUGGAUAAAGAACUGGCUGGAUGACCGCACGCAAAGAGUAGUGCUCAAUGUCCAGCUGGAGACCAGUAAUGAGUGGUGUCCCCCAGGGAUCGGUGUUGGGACCGGUCUUGUUCAACAUCUUUGUCGGUGA
Molecule: long non-coding RNA, 2019 nt
Organism: Amazona collaria (yellow-billed parrot)
Lineage: Eukaryota; Metazoa; Chordata; Aves; Psittaciformes; Psittacidae
Source: Ensembl